UAGGGAAUCUUCGGCAAUGGGGGCAACCCUGACCGAGCAACGCCGCGUGAGUGAAGAAGGUUUUCGGAUCGUAAAGCUCUGUUGUAAGAGAAGAGCGAGUGUGAGAGUGGAAAGUUCACACUGUGACGGUAUCUUACCAGAAAGGGACGGCUAACUACGUGCCAGCAGCCGCGGUAAUACGUAGGUCCCGAGCGUUGUCCGGAUUUAUUGGGCGUAAAGCGAGCGCAGGCGGUUAGAUAAGUCUGAAGUUAAAGGCUGUGGCUUAACCAUAGUACGCUUUGGAAACUGUUUAACUUGAGUGCAAGAGGGGAGAGUGGAAUUCCAUGUGUAGCGGUGAAAUGCGUAGAUAUAUGGAGGAACACCGGUGGCGAAAGCGGCUCUCUGGCUUGUAACUGACGCUGAGGCUCGAAAGCGUGGGGAGCAAACAGGAUUAGAUACCCUGGUAGUCCACGCCGUAAACGAUGAGUGCUAGGUGUUAGACCCUUUCCGGGGUUUAGUGCCGUAGCUAACGCAUUAAGCACUCCGCCUGGGGAGUACGACCGCAAGGUUG
Molecule: ribosomal RNA, 550 nt
Filed under: uncultured bacterium
Lineage: Bacteria
Description: bacterial SSU rRNA
Rfam family: Bacterial small subunit ribosomal RNA
Source: RNAcentral